AGAGCUUCCUGUAAGCGAACCCGUGAAGGUUCCAGGAGGAUGGCGCACCCGGAAAGGGCGUGGAAGCUCCGCGCCCCUUCCCACAGACUUUCCCCCAUCCAUCUCUUCAUCUGGUGUUCAUCGAUAGCCUUUGUAAUGUCCUUAAUAGUAAACCGGAAAACCCUUGAGAUACUCCAAGCAGACUUACCUCUGUGUUGUACACCCCAUAUAUCAGGAAGAUGAAGAGACCCUGUAAAAUAAAAUGGAGGGGAAAAGCUGUUAACGCUAAUCAUUUCAGCAGUAGAAAUACCUGAAAUAAACUUUCCUGGGAACAGACAAAAGAAGACACACUUCAUCAAGAUGUACACCUAACAGCAUGGUAAGGAAGCCCCAGAAGGAUGUUUCUAAAGACCAUGAGGGAGUCUGAAACCUGAAAUCAUGCCAAGGACUCUCUGCUUCUCUUUCACUUGGGGUGUCUAUCUGAUGCUGCCACAACCAGUUGAAACGUAUAACAUUAACAAUAAAAAUUAGUUUUUUUGUAACUAAUUUUAU
Molecule: long non-coding RNA, 531 nt
Filed under: Homo sapiens (human)
Lineage: Eukaryota; Metazoa; Chordata; Mammalia; Primates; Hominidae
Description: non-protein coding lnc-NR5A2-1:12
Source: RNAcentral